ACCAGUCUUCUCCUAACUGUACUGCAGAAAACACGCUUGACGAGCGAAUUCUAAGCAGGAGUGUUGCUCGAUGAACGAUAACUUCCGAUUGUGACGAUACCAGAAAUUAAGGACAAAGUGUCUACGAACCUAAAUCUAUU
Penaeus monodon (black tiger shrimp) is the source of this 140-nucleotide long non-coding RNA. RefSeq lists it as uncharacterized. NCBI's taxonomy places the organism in Eukaryota, Metazoa, Arthropoda, Malacostraca, Decapoda, Penaeidae. The record is from RefSeq and is a predicted model, not a curated record. The transcript has 2 exons.